RNAcentral lists this ribosomal RNA (483 nucleotides) under uncultured bacterium. Its description in RNAcentral is "partial 16S ribosomal RNA". It matches the Rfam family "Bacterial small subunit ribosomal RNA", at positions 28 to 507 of the family's 1533-position model. The record is from RNAcentral.
GACGAACGCUGGCGGCGUGCUUAACACAUGCAAGUCGAACGCUGAAGCUCAGCUUUUGUUGGGUGGAUGAGUGGCGAACGGGUGAGUAACACGUGAGUAACCUGCCCCCUUCUUUGGGAUAACGCCCGGAAACGGGUGCUAAUACUGGAUAUUCACUGGUCUUCGCAUGGGGGUUGGUGGAAAGGGUUUUUCUGGUGGGGGAUGGGCUCGCGGCCUAUCAGCUUGUUGGUGGGGUGAUGGCCUACCAAGGCUUUGACGGGUAGCCGGCCUGAGAGGGUGACCGGUCACAUUGGGACGGAGAUACGGCCCAGACUCCUACGGGAGGCAGCAGUGGGGAAGAUUGCACAAUGGGCGCAAGACUGAUGCAGCGACGCCGCGUGAGGGAUGGAGGCCUUCGGGUUGUGAACCUCUUUCGCUCAUGGUCAAGCCGCAACAAUGGUUGUGGUGAGGGUAGUGGGUAAAGAAGCGCCGGCUAACUACGUG